RNAcentral lists this ribosomal RNA (536 nucleotides) under uncultured soil bacterium. RNAcentral describes it as "bacterial SSU rRNA". It matches the Rfam family "Bacterial small subunit ribosomal RNA", at positions 8 to 526 of the family's 1533-position model. The record is from RNAcentral.
AGAGUUUGAUCCUGGCUCAGGACGAACGCUGGCGGCGUGCCUAAUACAUGCAAGUCGAGCGGGUUGUGGAGGGCUUGCCCUUCACAGCCAGCGGCGGACGGGUGAGGAACACGUGGGCAACCUGCCCGGCAGACCGGAAUAACGCCUGGAAACGGGUGCUAAUGCCGGAUAGAGCAUUCCCGGGGCAUCCCGGGGAUGGGAAAGGCGCAAAGGCGUCACUGCCGGAUGGGCCCGCGUCGCAUUAUGCUGGUUGGCGGGGUAACGGCCCACCAAGGCGACGAUGCGUAGCCGGCCUGAGGGGGUGAACGGCCACACUGGGACUGAGACACGGCCCAGACUCCUACGGGAGGCAGCAGUAGGGAAUCUUCCGCAAUGGGCGCAAGCCUGACGGAGCAACGCCGCGUGAGCGAAGAAGGCCUUCGGGUUGUAAAGCUCAGUCACUCGGGACGAGCGACCAAGGGAGGGGAGCGCCCUUGGGGAGACGGUACCGAGGGAGGAAGCCCCGGCAAACUACGUGCCAGCCGCCGCGGUAAUUC